This 200-nucleotide unclassified non-coding RNA is filed under the name Leuconeurospora sp. Its description in RNAcentral is "partial internal transcribed spacer 2". Lineage: Eukaryota; Fungi; Ascomycota; Leotiomycetes; Thelebolales; Pseudeurotiaceae. The record is from RNAcentral.
UUAAGUUCAGCGGGUAUCCCUACCUGAUCCGAGGUCAACCUUGAUAGAAUUGGGGUUGCUGGCCAGCGCGCACCCGGGUCUCCAGAAGCGAGAGUGUUACUACGCUUGAAGCCGGAUGGCACCGCCACUGAUUUUGAGGCCCGCCGGAACCGGCGAGGCCCAACACCAAGCAGAGCUUGAGGGUUGUAAUGACGCUCGAA